UCAGCAGCCCCCCAGUGGCGAGGAGGCAGGACCCAGUAAUAUGGGGACAGAACCCGUCCAGCCAUUAAUGGAGGAGCUGACAGAAGAAGAAGUGGCCUUCCUCAGAGACGGCAGCCCAGCAGACACCCACAGUGGAGUACAGGAGGGGCUAGGAGCCACGGAGGGUCAGAGUGAAGCGACCCCCAGCACCAGUGGAGGGGAGGCAGGGAGUUCCACAAAGCAAGGGGCUUGUUUGUUGCACCCCAAACCAUCAACCUCAGGUAACAGAGACAGACAAGAAUAGACUGUUAGAGUUUGAUAUGGUGAUUUAAAACCCGUUUGUUUCAUUUGGCUUCAGAGAAAAUAGCUUAUUUUGUGUUUGUACCAGGCCUGUCUAAGAGAGAGUGGCUGGAAAGGCAGAAAGCAGAGCUGAACACAUACAAGCGCAGCAGAAAUCUGAGAGACAGACCAAGAAUCACUUACACAGAGGAGGAGGUCCCCAAAGAUGAUCACUACCUCUGUGAGUCAUUAUCUCUCUGUCUCUCUGUCUCUCUCUGUGUAUCUAUCGCUUUCUAUCUAUCUCUCUCGGAAUAAAGACAUUUCAAAUGUCAUAUUAUAUAUAUAUACAGUGUUGUAAUGAUGUGCAAAUAGUUAAAGUACCACAGGGAAAAUAAAUAAGCAUAAAUAUGGGUGUAUUUAGAGGUCGACCGAUUAUGCUUUUUCCACGCCGAUACCGAUUAUUGGAGGACCAAAAAAAGCCGAUACCGAUUAAUCGGACGAUUUUUAAUGACAAUUACAACACUUAUUUUAACUUAAUAUAAUACAUCAAUAAAAAUCUAUUUAGCCUCCCAAAAAAUUAUUUUACCUUUAUUUAACCAGGUAGGCAAGUUGAGAACAAGUUCUCAUUUACAAUUGCCACCUGGCCAAGAUAAAGCAAAGCAGUUCGACAGAUACAACGACACAGAGUUACACAUGGAGUAAAACAGACAUACAGUCAAUAAUACAGUAUAAACAAGUCUAUAUACAAUGUGAGCAAAUGAGGUGGGAAGGGAGGUAAAGGCAAAAAGGCCAUGGUGGCAAAGUAAAUACAAUAUAGCAAGUAAAACACUGGAAUGGUAGUUUUGCAAUGGAAGAAUGUGCAAAAUAGAAACUAGAGAGAUAUACCUGCUGGAGCGUGUGCCACAUAAUGAAGCAUGUUCAAUUUGGUUUAAAUGAUGCAAAAACAAAGUGUUGGAGAAGAAAGUAAAAGUGCAAUAUGUGCCAUGUAAGAAAGCUAACGUUUCAGUUCCUUGCUCAGAACAUGAGAACAUAUGAAAGCUGGUGGUUCCUUUUAACAUGAGACUUCAAUAUUCCAAGGUAAGAGGUUUUAGGUUGUAGUUAAUAUAGUAUUUAUAGGACUAUUUCUCUCUAUACCAUUUGUAUUUCAUAUACCUUUGACAAUUGGAUGUUCUUAUAGGCACUACAGUAUUGCCAGUGUAACAGUAUAGCUUCUGUCCCUCUCCUCGCUCCAACCUGGGUUCGAACCAGGAACACAUCGACAACAGCCACACUCAAAGCAGCGUUACCCAUCGCUCCACAAAAGCUGCGGCCCUUGCAGAGCAAGGGGAAUAACUACUCCAAGUCUCAGAGCGAGUGACGUUUGAAAUGCUAUUAGCGCACAACCAGCUAACUAGAUAGCCAUUUCACAUUGGUUACACCAGCCAUUAGGCUGAUAGGCUUGAAGCCAUAAACAGCGCUGUGCUUGCGAAGAGCUGUUGGCAAAACGUACGAAAGUGCUGUUUGAAUGGAUGCUUACGAGCUGCUGCUCAGUCAGACUGCUCUAUCAAAUCAUAGACUUAAUUAUAACAUAAUAACACACAGAAAUACGAGCCUUUGGUCAUUAAUAUGAUCGAAUCCGGAAACUAUCAUUUCGAAAACAAAACGUUUAUUCUUUCAGUGAAAUACAGAACCGUUACGUAUUUUAUCUAACGGGUGGCAUCCAUAAGUCUAAAUAUUCUUGUUACAUUGCACAACCUUCAAUGUUAUGCCAUAAUUACAUACAAUUCUGGCAAAUUAGGCGGCAGUAAAUGUUGCAUAUACACUGACUCUGCGUGCAAUGAACGCAAGAGAAAUAACACAAUUUCACCUGGUUAAUAUUGCCUGCUAACCUGGAUUUCUUUUAGCUAAAUAUGCAGGUUUAAAAAAUAUAUACUUCUGUGUAUUUAUUUUAAGAAAGGCAUUGGUGUUUAUGGUUAGGUACACAUUGGAGCAACAACAGUCCUUUUUCUCCUGUGUGAGUGGUACAGUGGUCCAACGAUUGUGCUUUUUUUGCAAAUGCACUUUUGUUAAAUCAUCCCCCAGCGUUGCAUCGAUUAUAUGCAAUGCAGGACACGUUAGAUAAACGAGUAAUAUCAUCAACCAUGUGUAGUUAACUAGUGAUUAUGAUUGAUUGAUUUUAUAAGAUAAGUUUAAUGCUAGCUAGCAACUUAGCUAGCAUUA
Long non-coding RNA from Oncorhynchus kisutch (coho salmon), 2457 nucleotides. The record is from Ensembl. Lineage: Eukaryota; Metazoa; Chordata; Actinopteri; Salmoniformes; Salmonidae.